UCUCCUACGGGACGCAGCAGUGGGGAAUAUUGCACAAUGGGGGAAACCCUGAUGCAGCGACGCCGCGUGAAGGAAGACGGUUUUCGGAUUGUAAACUUCUGUUCUUAGUGAAGAAUAAUGACGGUAGCUAAGGAGCAAGCCACGGCUAACUACGUGCCAGCAGCCGCGGUAAUACGUAGGUGGCAAGCGUUGUCCGGAAUUACUGGGUGUAAAGGGAGCGCAGGCGGGAAGCCAAGGCAGCUGUGAAAACUACGGGCUUAAC
RNAcentral lists this ribosomal RNA (262 nucleotides) under uncultured bacterium. RNAcentral's name for it is "partial 16S ribosomal RNA". It matches the Rfam family "Bacterial small subunit ribosomal RNA", at positions 335 to 613 of the family's 1533-position model. The record is from RNAcentral.